Molecule: long non-coding RNA, 211 nt
Filed under: Vigna radiata
Lineage: Eukaryota; Viridiplantae; Streptophyta; Magnoliopsida; Fabales; Fabaceae
Description: long non-coding RNA (VRAD_LNC000341)
Source: RNAcentral
UCCUAUUCUCACCACAUGACUCAUCACUCUCUAAUUGAGCAUGGAUGGUCAUUAGAAUGUCAAGGUAAACCCCAUCCUGAACUCCGGCCAUUCAUACGAUCAAUCACGACAAACUACAGUGGCACCACCAUGUAACCUCCCUUGAGGAUCAUGGAAUUACGUCCAAUAACCAUACUUUUACUUUGAAACUUAACUCAACACAUGAACCACC